AGGACGAACGCUGGCGGCGUGCUUAACACAUGCAAGUCGAGCGGAAAGGCCCUUCGGGGUACUCGAGCGGCGAACGGGUGAGUAACACGUGAGCAACCUGCCCUUAGCUCCGGGAUAGCUCCGGGAAACCGGAAUUAAUACCGGAUAUGACCUAGGCCGACAUCGGCUGUGGUGGAAAGUUUUUCGGCUGGGGAUGGACUCGCGGCCUAUCAGCUUGUUGGUGGGGUAAUGGCCUACCAAGGCGACGACGGGUAGCCGGCCUGAGAGGGCGACCGGCCACACUGGGACUGAGACACGGCCCAGACUCCUACGGGAGGCAGCAGUGGGAAUCUUGCGCAAUGGGCGAAAGCCUGACGCAGCGACGCCGCGUGGGGGAUGAAGGCCUUCGGGUUGUAAACCCCUUUCAGCAGGGACGAAGCGAAAGUGACGGUACCUGCAGAAGAAGCGCCGGCUAACUACGCGCCAGCAGCCGC
This 473-nucleotide ribosomal RNA is filed under the name uncultured bacterium. RNAcentral's name for it is "SSU rRNA". It matches the Rfam family "Bacterial small subunit ribosomal RNA", at positions 26 to 518 of the family's 1533-position model. The record is from RNAcentral.